CUUAGUAACGGCGAGUGAAGCGGUAAAAGCUCAAAUUUGAAAUCUGGUACUUUCAGUGCCCGAGUUGUAAUUUGUAGAAUUUGUCUUUGAUUAGGUCCUUGUCUAUGUUCCUUGGAACAGGACGUCAUAGAGGGUGAGAAUCCCGUUUGGCGAGGAUACCUUUUCUCUGUAAGACUUUUUCGAAGAGUCGAGUUGUUUGGGAAUGCAGCUCAAAGUGGGUGGUAAAUUCCAUCUAAAGCUAAAUAUUGGCGAGAGACCGAUAGCGAACAAGUACAGUGAUGGAAAGAUGAAAAGAACUUUGAAAAGAGAGUGAAAAAGUACGUGAAAUUGUUGAAAGGGAAGGGCAUUUGAUCAGACAUGGUGUUUUUUGCAUGCACUCGCCUCUCGUGGGCUUGGGCCUCUCAAAAAUUUCACUGGGCCAACAUCAAUUCUGGCAGCAGGAUAAAUCAUUAAGAAUGUAGCUACUUCGGUAGUGUUAUAGCUUUUUGGAAUACUGUUAGCCGGGAUUGAGGACUGCGCUUCGGCAAGGAUGUUGGCAUAAUGGUUAAAUGCCGCCCGUCUUGAAACACGGACCAUAAU
This 579-nucleotide ribosomal RNA is filed under the name Hanseniaspora uvarum. Its description in RNAcentral is "eukaryotic LSU rRNA". It matches the Rfam family "Eukaryotic large subunit ribosomal RNA", at positions 79 to 664 of the family's 3401-position model. The record is from RNAcentral. Lineage: Eukaryota; Fungi; Ascomycota; Saccharomycetes; Saccharomycodales; Saccharomycodaceae.